AUCGCUUCUCGGCCUUUUGGCUAAGAUCAAGUGUAAAACAUAAUGCUGAGGUACUAGGUUUUGGCAAAGGACCUUAUAUCCACUAGGAUCUCAAAAUUAUGUUUGCACUUUGGAAUCCUGACUCCACUUUGGUUUUGGUCUGUGAUAUUUCUCUUAUUUGAUUACAAGUUUGGAUAAAAGGGAGGUGUAUU
Panthera uncia (snow leopard) is the source of this 191-nucleotide small nuclear RNA. RefSeq annotates it as U2 spliceosomal RNA. The transcript has a single exon. Lineage: Eukaryota; Metazoa; Chordata; Mammalia; Carnivora; Felidae. The record is from RefSeq and is a predicted model, not a curated record.